CAGUAGCCACGGGAAUACGUAGGUGGCAAGCGUUGUCCGGAAUUAUUGGGCGUAAAGGGCUCGCAGGCGGUUUCUUAAGUCUGAUGUGAAAGCCCCCGGCUCAACCGGGGAGGGUCAUUGGAAACUGGGAAACUUGAGUGCAGAAGAGGAGAGUGGAAUUCCACGUGUAGCGGUGAAAUGCGUAGAGAUGUGGUGGAACACCAGUGGCGAAGGUGACUCUCUGGUCUGUAACUGACGCUGAGGAGCGAAAGCGUGGGGAGCGAACAGGAUUAGAUACCCCUGUAGUCCCUGUUUCUUUACA
This 301-nucleotide ribosomal RNA is filed under the name uncultured bacterium. RNAcentral describes it as "partial 16S ribosomal RNA". It matches the Rfam family "Bacterial small subunit ribosomal RNA", at positions 509 to 808 of the family's 1533-position model. The record is from RNAcentral.